This 580-nucleotide ribosomal RNA is filed under the name Colletotrichum gloeosporioides. Its description in RNAcentral is "eukaryotic LSU rRNA". The stretch from base 226 to 379 matches the Rfam family "5.8S ribosomal RNA". The record is from RNAcentral. Lineage: Eukaryota; Fungi; Ascomycota; Sordariomycetes; Glomerellales; Glomerellaceae.
GAAGUAAAAGUCGUAACAAGGUCUCCGUUGGUGAACCAGCGGAGGGAUCAUUACUGAGUUUACGCUCUAUAACCCUUUGUGAACAUACCUAUAACUGUUGCUUCGGCGGGUAGGGUCUCCGCGACCCUCCCGGCCUCCCGCCUCCGGGCGGGUCGGCGCCCGCCGGAGGAUAACCAAACUCUGAUUUAACGACGUUUCUUCUGAGUGGUACAAGCAAAUAAUCAAAACUUUUAACAACGGAUCUCUUGGUUCUGGCAUCGAUGAAGAACGCAGCGAAAUGCGAUAAGUAAUGUGAAUUGCAGAAUUCAGUGAAUCAUCGAAUCUUUGAACGCACAUUGCGCCCGCCAGCAUUCUGGCGGGCAUGCCUGUUCGAGCGUCAUUUCAACCCUCAAGCUCUGCUUGGUGUUGGGGCCCUACAGCUGAUGUAGGCCCUCAAAGGUAGUGGCGGACCCUCCCGGAGCCUCCUUUGCGUAGUAACUUUACGUCUCGCACUGGGAUCCGGAGGGACUCUUGCCGUAAAACCCCCCAAUUUUCCAAAGGUUGACCUCGGAUCAGGUAGGAAUACCCGCUGAACUUAAGC